This is a long non-coding RNA of Acanthaster planci (crown-of-thorns starfish), 349 nucleotides long. NCBI's taxonomy places the organism in Eukaryota, Metazoa, Echinodermata, Asteroidea, Valvatida, Acanthasteridae. The record is from RefSeq and is a predicted model, not a curated record.
UUCCAAUCGACCUCCAGCUCCAGGCAGGCGGUGCCGCGAAAGUUUGAGCUCGAAAUUCCGCCCAACUAAUCCUGCUCUGACAAGUUUGGCCUCACAGAAAGUGAUGAAGAUGACACUGAUAUUUAUACUUAUAGCCGUCGCACAGACAGUGAAGACGUGGGCUCAAGAGAGACUCAAGUUCCAGUGAGGACCCAAGUGACAGCCACCUGACAGUGAUGAGGAGCAAGAACAAUGGAGAAAACAGCAGGUGAUAACAGCGUGGCUGGUCCCUUGCCUGUGGGCUCAUCUUCUGGCAUCUCUGGCCUGAUAGAGUAAGGUGAUAGCAGCAUGGUUGGUCCCCUGCCUGUGG